UGCAAGUCGAACGCGUUGGCCCAAUUGAUUGAUGGUGCUUGCACCUGAUUGAUUUUGGUCGCCAACGAGUGGCGGACGGGUGAGUAACACGUAGGUAACCUGCCCAGAAGCGGGGGACAACAUUUGGAAACAGAUGCUAAUACCGCAUAACAGCGUUGUUCGCAUGAACAACGCUUAAAAGAUGGCUUCUCGCUAUCACUUCUGGAUGGACCUGCGGUGCAUUAGCUUGUUGGUGGGGUAACGGCCUACCAAGGCGAUGAUGCAUAGCCGAGUUGAGAGACUGAUCGGCCACAAUGGGACUGAGACACGGCCCAUACUCCUACGGGAGGCAGCAGUAGGGAAUCUUCCACAAUGGGCGCAAGCCUGAUGGAGCAACACCGCGUGAGUGAAGAAGGGUUUCGGCUCGUAAAGCUCUGUUGUUAAAGAAGAACACGUAUGAGAGUAACUGUUCAUACGUUGACGGUAUUUAACCAGAAAGUCACGGCUAACUACGUGCCAGCAGCCGCGGUAAUACGUAGGUGGCAAGCGUUAUCCGGAUUUAUUGGGCGUAAAGAGAGUGCAGGCGGUUUUCUAAGUCUGAUGUGAAAGCCUUCGGCUUAACCGGAGAAGUGCAUCGGAAACUGGAUAACUUGAGUGCAGAAGAGGGUAGUGGAACUCCAUGUGUAGCGGUGGAAUGCGUAGAUAUAUGGAAGAACACCAGUGGCGAAGGCGGCUACCUGGUCUGCAACUGACGCUGAGACUCGAAAGCAUGGGUAGCGAACAGGAUUAGAUACCCUGGUAGUCCAUGCCGUAAACGAUGAGUGCUAGGUGUUGGAGGGUUUCCGCCCUUCAGUGCCGGAGCUAACGCAUUAAGCACUCCGCCUGGGGAGUACGACCGCAAGGUUGAAACUCAAAGGAAUUGACGGGGGCCCGCACAAGCGGUGGAGCAUGUGGUUUAAUUCGAAGCUACGCGAAGAACCUUACCAGGUCUUGACAUCUUGCGCCAACCCUAGAGAUAGGGCGUUUCCUUCGGGAACGCAAUGACAGGUGGUGCAUGGUCGUCGUCAGCUCGUGUCGUGAGAUGUUGGGUUAAGUCCCGCAACGAGCGCAACCCUUGUUACUAGUUGCCAGCAUUAAGUUGGGCACUCUAGUGAGACUGCCGGUGACAAACCGGAGGAAGGUGGGGACGACGUCAGAUCAUCAUGCCCCUUAUGACCUGGGCUACACACGUGCUACAAUGGACGGUACAACGAGUCGCGAACUCGCGAGGGCAAGCAAAUCUCUUAAAACCGUUCUCAGUUCGGACUGCAGGCUGCAACUCGCCUGCACGAAGUCGGAAUCGCUAGUAAUCGCGGAUCAGCAUGCCGCGGUGAAUACGUUCCCGGGCCUUGUACACACCGCCCGUCACACCAUGAGAGUUUGUAACACCCAAAGUCGGCUGGGGUAACCUUUUAGGAGCCAGCC
Molecule: ribosomal RNA, 1443 nt
Filed under: Limosilactobacillus fermentum
Lineage: Bacteria; Bacillati; Bacillota; Bacilli; Lactobacillales; Lactobacillaceae
Description: bacterial SSU rRNA
Rfam family: Bacterial small subunit ribosomal RNA
Source: RNAcentral